GACGAACGCUGGCGGCGUGCUUAACACAUGCAAGUCGAACGGAAAGGCCCUGCUUGCAGGGUACUCGAGUGGCGAACGGGUGAGUAACACGUGGGUGAUCUGCCCUGCACUUCGGGAUAAGCCUGGGAAACUGGGUCUAAUACCGGAUAGGAGCCAUUUUUAGUGUGAUGGUUGGAAAGUUUUUUCGGUGUAGGAUGAGCUCGCGGCCUAUCAGCUUGUUGGUGGGGUAAUGGCCUACCAAGGCGGCGACGGGUAGCCGGCCUGAGAGGGUGGACGGCCACAUUGGGACUGAGAUACGGCCCAGACUCCUACGGGAGGCAGCAGUGGGGAAUAUUGCACAAUGGGCGCAAGCCUGAUGCAGCGACGCCGCGUGGGGGAUGACGGCCUUCGGGUUGUAAACUCCUUUCGCUAGGGACGAAGCUUUUUGUGACGGUACCUAGAUAAGAAGCACCGGCUAACUACGUGCCAGCCGCCGCUGUAA
RNAcentral lists this ribosomal RNA (481 nucleotides) under uncultured bacterium. RNAcentral describes it as "partial 16S ribosomal RNA". It matches the Rfam family "Bacterial small subunit ribosomal RNA", at positions 28 to 523 of the family's 1533-position model. The record is from RNAcentral.